This 439-nucleotide ribosomal RNA is filed under the name uncultured bacterium. RNAcentral's name for it is "partial 16S ribosomal RNA". It matches the Rfam family "Bacterial small subunit ribosomal RNA", at positions 338 to 795 of the family's 1533-position model. The record is from RNAcentral.
CCUACGGGUGGCAGCAGUGGGGAAUAUUGCACAAUGGGCGCAAGCCUGAUGCAGCAACGCCGCGUGAGCGAUGAAGGCCUUCGGGUCGUAAAGCUCUGUCCUCAAGGACGAUAAUGACGGUGCUUGAGGAGGAAGCACCGGCUAACUACGUGCCAGCAGCCGCGGUAAUACGUAGGGGGCUGGCGUUAUCCGGAAUUACUGGGCGAAAAGGGUGCGUAGGUGGUUUCUUAGGUAGGAGGGGAAAGGCUACGGCUAAACCGUAGUAAGCCUUUGAUACUGGGAAACUUGAGUGCAGGAGAGGAGGGUGGAAUUCCUAGUGUAGCGGUGAAAUGCGUAGAUAUUAGGAGGAACACCAGUGGCGAAGGCGGCUCUCUGGACUGUAACUGACACUGAGGCACGAAAGCGUGGGGAGCAAACAGGAUUAGAUAUCCGGGUAGUC